UACGAGGGGGGCAAGCGUUGUUCGGAAUUAUUGGGCGUAAAGGGCGCGUAGGCGGCGCCACAAGUCACUUGUGAAAACUCUGGGCUCAACUCAGAGCCUGCAAGCGAAACUGUGGUGCUGGAGUAUGGGAGAGGUGCGUGGAAUUCCCGGUGUAGCGGUGAAAUGCGUAGAUAUUCGGAAGAACACCAGUGGCGAAGGCGGCUCACUGGCCCGGUACUGACGCUGAGAUACGAAAGCGUGGGGAGCAAACAGG
This 253-nucleotide ribosomal RNA is filed under the name uncultured bacterium. RNAcentral's name for it is "partial 16S ribosomal RNA". It matches the Rfam family "Bacterial small subunit ribosomal RNA", at positions 524 to 776 of the family's 1533-position model. The record is from RNAcentral.